RNAcentral lists this ribosomal RNA (628 nucleotides) under uncultured rumen bacterium. RNAcentral describes it as "bacterial SSU rRNA". It matches the Rfam family "Bacterial small subunit ribosomal RNA", at positions 848 to 1482 of the family's 1533-position model. The record is from RNAcentral.
GCGAAGCGAUAAGUUAUCCACCUGGGAGUACGUUCGCAAGAAUGAAACUCAAAGGAAUUGACGGGGCCCGCACAAGCGGAGGAACAUGUGGUUUAAUUCGAUGAUACGCGAGGAACCUUACCCGGGCUCGAACGGUAGACGAACGAUACAGAGAUGUAAAGGCCCUUCGGGGCGUCUAUCGAGGUGCUGCAUGGUUGUCGUCAGCUCGUGCCGUGAGGUGUCGGCUCAAGUGCCAUAACGAGCGCAACCCUUGUCAGUAGUUACCAGCAUGUGAAGAUGGGGACUCUACUGAGACUGCCACCGCAAGGUGAGAGGAAGGGGGGGAUGACGUCAAAUCAGCACGGCCCUUACGUCCGGGGCGACACACGUGUUACAAUGGCGGCCACAGAGGGAAGCCACCUGGCGACAGGGAGCGAAUCUCGAAAAGCCGUCUCAGUUCGGAUCGGAGUCUGCAACCCGACUCCGUGAAGCUGGAUUCGCUAGUAAUCGCGCAUCAGCCAUGGCGCGGUGAAUACGUUCCCGGGUCUUGUACACACCGCCCGUCAAACCAUGAGAGCUGGUAAUACUCGAAGUCGUUAUCCUAACCGCAAGGGGGGAGACGCCUAAGGUAGGACUGGUGAUUGGGGUU